This 362-nucleotide transfer-messenger RNA is filed under the name Bacteriovoracaceae bacterium. It matches the Rfam family "transfer-messenger RNA". From Rfam's summary of the family: Bacterial tmRNA, also known as 10Sa RNA or SsrA, is named for its dual tRNA and mRNA-like properties. Its role is to liberate the mRNA from a stalled ribosome. The record is from RNAcentral. Lineage: Bacteria; Pseudomonadati; Bdellovibrionota; Bacteriovoracia; Bacteriovoracales; Bacteriovoracaceae.
GGGGGUGUCACGGUUUCGACAAAGGAAUUGCAGUAGAGGGGGCGUGUCCAGGUUGGUCUUCAGGCCUGGUAAAAAGAAGACCAAACUUAAAUGCAAAUAACGAAUUUGCACCCGCUAUGGCAGCUUAGUCUAUCAUGGCCGAGGGUGUCUUCUCCCACGAAACAGAAAGAAGACAAACAAGAAGUGGCAACUUGUUAAAAUGGCCGCGUUGAUUGUCGGGACAUCAACUCAAAAAACACCGAUCCUUGUUCAUUUAGGUGAAUGAAAUGGCCGUGCUCCAGGGCGAUAAACUGAAGCUACACACGUAGUCCCUUUUAUGAAUAGUCCUUUGGACGCGAGUUCAAUUCUCGCCACCUCCACCA